This 253-nucleotide ribosomal RNA is filed under the name uncultured bacterium. Its description in RNAcentral is "partial 16S ribosomal RNA". It matches the Rfam family "Bacterial small subunit ribosomal RNA", at positions 524 to 776 of the family's 1533-position model. The record is from RNAcentral.
UACAGAGGUCUCAAGCGUCGUUCGGAAUUACUGGGCGUAAAGGGUGCGCAGGCCGCGCGGGCAGUCAAAUGUGUAAUUCAGGGGCUCAACCCCUGCACUGCGCUUGAUACUUCCGCGCUCGAGCUUUGGAGAGGAGUCUGGAAUUCUCGGUGUAGCAGUGAAAUGCGUGGAUAUCGAGAAGAACACUUAGGGCGUAGGCAAGACUCUGGACAAAUGCUGACGCUCAUGCACGAAGGCUAGGGUAGCGAACGGG